Molecule: long non-coding RNA, 387 nt
Filed under: Ananas comosus (pineapple)
Lineage: Eukaryota; Viridiplantae; Streptophyta; Magnoliopsida; Poales; Bromeliaceae
Description: long non-coding RNA (ACOM_LNC008528)
Source: RNAcentral
UUAUCAAUAUUAUUAGACCUGAUCUAAACUAUUAAUUUCAUGUCCUUAGUACUCAAUUUUCAUGAUUAUUUGAUAUAUCCCACUUUAUAAUUGAGUGGUUUCAGAACAAAUGUGUAAAAGUGAAACACCGUAUAAAAUAGAUGAUACAAUUCUUCAAUAUUAAAUUAGAGAUACUGAGGUUAAUUUUUCUCCGUAGUAAAAAGAAUUUUCUAUUAUAUCUUAGGCANCUAGUCUAUUUAUAAAUUCAUUGUUAGUUUAAUGGUAUUAAAUUAUUUCAACUUGCCUAAGAUAAAAUAGAUGAUACAAUUCUUCAAUAUUAAAUUAGAGAUACUGAGGUUAAUUUUUCUCCGUAGUAAAAAGAAUUUUCUAUUAUAUCUUAGGCAAGUU